GAUGAACGCUGGCGGCGUGCCUAACACAUGCAAGUCGAACGGGUAGCUUCGGCUAUCAGUGGCAAACGGGUGCGUAAUACGUAGGGAUCUACCGCAUAGAUGGGGACAACGGCUGGAAACGGUCGCUAAUACCCGAUGACGUCUAAGGACGAAAGACGCAAGUCGCUAUGCGAGGAGCCUGCGGCCUAUCAGGUAGUUGGUGAGGUAACGGCUCACCAAGCCGACGACGGGUAGGG
RNAcentral lists this ribosomal RNA (236 nucleotides) under uncultured Chloroflexota bacterium. Its description in RNAcentral is "uncultured Chloroflexi bacterium partial 16S ribosomal RNA". It matches the Rfam family "Bacterial small subunit ribosomal RNA", at positions 28 to 288 of the family's 1533-position model. Lineage: Bacteria; Bacillati; Chloroflexota. The record is from RNAcentral.